GCGGGCGUGGCGCAGUGGUUAGCGCGUAGGUCUCAUAUCCCAGAUAUGACUUGGGUUAUCCUAAGGUCGAGGGUUCGACACCCUCCGCCCGCA
RNAcentral lists this transfer RNA (93 nucleotides) under Volvox carteri f. nagariensis. It matches the Rfam family "tRNA". From Rfam's summary of the family: Transfer RNA (tRNA) molecules are approximately 80 nucleotides in length. Their secondary structure includes four short double-helical elements and three loops (D, anti-codon, and T loops). The record is from Rfam by way of RNAcentral. Lineage: Eukaryota; Viridiplantae; Chlorophyta; Chlorophyceae; Chlamydomonadales; Volvocaceae.